RNAcentral lists this ribosomal RNA (497 nucleotides) under uncultured bacterium. RNAcentral describes it as "partial 16S ribosomal RNA". It matches the Rfam family "Bacterial small subunit ribosomal RNA", at positions 28 to 507 of the family's 1533-position model. The record is from RNAcentral.
GAUGAACGCUGGCGGCGUGCCUAAUACAUGCAAGUCGAGCGAACAGACGAGGAGCUUGCUCCUCUGACGUUAGCGGCGGACGGGUGAGUAACACGUGGAUAACCUACCUAUAAGACUGGGAUAACUUCGGGAAACCGGAGCUAAUACCGGAUAAUAUAUUGAACCGCAUGGUUCAAUAGUGAAAGACGGUUUUGCUGUCACUUAUAGAUGGAUCCGCGCCGCAUUAGCUAGUUGGUAAGGUAACGGCUUACCAAGGCGACGAUGCGUAGCCGACCUGAGAGGGUGAUCGGACACACUGGAACUGAGACACGGCCCAGACUCCUACGGGAGGCAGCAGUAGGGAAUCUUCCGCAAUGGGCGAAAGCCUGACGGAGCAACGCCGCGUGAGUGAUGAAGGUCUUAGGAUCGUAAAACUCUGUUAUUAGGGAAGAACAAAUGUGUAAGUAACUAUGCACGUCUUGACGGUACCUAAUCAGAAAGCCACGGCUAACUACGUG